UUAUAGAACAUAAUUAGAUUAACGGCACACGUCAUUACGUCACCGCGCCACGCCGUCUGACGUCCCUCCAGAAUUUCACGUAUCAACAUACAAUUCGUCUUCAUUAUGGUACCGUAUACAGUUUUGGGUGUUUUUAUUAAUUUUUUUUACGAACGCUUUAAGUGCAGUUAAUUAUUUGUCAUGCUGUAUGUGCUAAUACACAACUGCUUGAAGCCGUGGGUGUGUCCCAAAUCGCGUACUUAUCGUUUAUAUAGUAGCCGAGCUACAUGUAUUUUUCCCCACUACAGGCCUAUAGUAGGCAAGUAAGCGAUUUGGGACGCGGCCGAACUCUCUUCUUCGCCGUAAAACGUAAAACUGCCGUGUGUGAUCGUGUCCUGUCGCAAAAUGCGGUGAAAACUCUCACACGACGUUCAUAAUGUGAUUAAGGUAUUUACGUGUCUGUAAUACACGUCCAUAAUGCGCUUAAAACAGGAGUACUCCACCUGUCUUAAUUAGAUUAUUGCUUACUUCGAUUAUGACCGUAAUUAGAUUAAGGGUCACAGGAACCUGGAGCCUAUCCCAGGGAGCAUCGGGCACAAGGCGGCGUACACCCUGGACAGGGUGCCAGUCCAUCACAGGGCACAAUCACAUAUACACUCACACACCCAUUCAUACACUACGGACACUUUGGAUAUGCCAAUCAGCCUACCAUGCAUGUCUCUGGGGGAGGAAACCGGAGUACCCAGAGCACGGGGAGAACAUGCAAACUCCGCACACACAGGGCCACGAUGGGAAUCGAACCCCCGACCCUGGAGGUGUGAGGCGAACGUGCUAACCACUAA
Molecule: long non-coding RNA, 821 nt
Organism: Ictalurus furcatus (blue catfish)
Lineage: Eukaryota; Metazoa; Chordata; Actinopteri; Siluriformes; Ictaluridae
Exons: 2
Source: RefSeq, a predicted model, not a curated record